UAGGGAAUCUUCCACAAUGGACGCAAGUCUGAUGGAGCAACGCCGCGUGAGUGAAGAAGGUUUUCGGACCGUAAAGCUCUGUUGUUGGUGAAGAAGGAUAGAGGUAGUAACUGGCCUUUAUUUGACGGUAAUCAACCAGAAAGUCACGGCUAACUACGUGCCAGCAGCCGCGGUAAUCGUAGGUGGCAAGCGUUGUCCGGAUUUAUUGGGCGUAAAGCGAGCGCAGGCGGAAGAAUAAGUCUGAUGUGAAAGCCCUCGGCUUAACCGAGGAAUUGCAUCGG
This 281-nucleotide ribosomal RNA is filed under the name uncultured bacterium. Its description in RNAcentral is "partial 16S ribosomal RNA". It matches the Rfam family "Bacterial small subunit ribosomal RNA", at positions 355 to 629 of the family's 1533-position model. The record is from RNAcentral.